Molecule: ribosomal RNA, 497 nt
Filed under: uncultured bacterium
Lineage: Bacteria
Description: partial 16S ribosomal RNA
Rfam family: Bacterial small subunit ribosomal RNA
Source: RNAcentral
GAUGAACGCUGGCGGCGUGCCUAAUACAUGCAAGUCGAGCGAACAGACGAGGAGCUUGCUCCUCUGACGUUAGCGGCGGACGGGUGAGUAACACGUGGAUAACCUACCUAUAAGACUGGGAUAACUUCGGGAAACCGGAGCUAAUACCGGAUAAUAUAUUGAACCGCAUGGUUCAAUAGUGAAAGACGGUUUUGCUGUCACUUAUAGAUGGAUCCGCGCCGCAUUAGCUAGUUGGUAAGGUAACGGCUUACCAAGGCAACGAUGCGUAGCCGACCUGAGAGGGUGAUCGGCCACACUGGAACUGAGACACGGUCCAGACUCCUACGGGAGGCAGCAGUAGGGAAUCUUCCGCAAAGGGCGAAAGCCUGACGGAGCAACGCCGCGUGAGUGAUGAAGGUCUUCGGAUCGUAAAACUCUGUUAUUAGGGAAGAACAAAUGUGUAAGUAACUAUGCACGUCUUGACGGUACAUAAUCAGAAAGCCACGGCUAACUACGUG